AGUAAUGCUUGGGAAUCUAGCUUAUGGAGGGGGAUAACUACGGGAAACUGUAGCUAAUACCGCGUAGUAUCGAGAGAUGGAAGUGUGGGACCUUCGGGCCACAUGCCAUAGGAUGAGCCCAAGUGGGAUUAGGUAGUUGGUGAGGUAAAGGCUCACCAAGCCGACGAUCUCUAGCUGGUCUGAGAGGAUGACCAGCCACACUGGGACUGAGACACGGCCCAG
This 222-nucleotide ribosomal RNA is filed under the name uncultured bacterium. RNAcentral's name for it is "partial 16S ribosomal RNA". It matches the Rfam family "Bacterial small subunit ribosomal RNA", at positions 109 to 334 of the family's 1533-position model. The record is from RNAcentral.